UACGUAGGGUGCGAGCGUUGUCCGGAAUUAUUGGGCGUAAAGGGCUCGUAGGCGGUUUGUCGCGUCGGGAGUGAAAACUCAGGGCUUAACCCUGAGCCUGCUUCCGAUACGGGCAGACUAGAGGUAUGCAGGGGAGAACGGAAUUCCUGGUGUAGCGGUGAAAUGCGCAGAUAUCAGGAGAAACACCGGUGGCGAAGGCGGUUCUCUGGGCAUUACCUGACGCUGAGGAGCGAAAGUGUGGGGAGCGAACAGG
Molecule: ribosomal RNA, 253 nt
Filed under: uncultured bacterium
Lineage: Bacteria
Description: partial 16S ribosomal RNA
Rfam family: Bacterial small subunit ribosomal RNA
Source: RNAcentral